Molecule: ribosomal RNA, 253 nt
Filed under: uncultured bacterium
Lineage: Bacteria
Description: partial 16S ribosomal RNA
Rfam family: Bacterial small subunit ribosomal RNA
Source: RNAcentral
UACGAAGGGGGCUAGCGUUGCUCGGAAUCACUGGGCGUAAAGCGCACGUAGGCGGCUUUUUAAGUCAGGGGUGAAAUCCUGGAGCUCAACUCCAGAACUGCCUUUGAUACUGGGAAGCUCGAGUCCGGGAGAGGUGAGUGGAACUCCGAGUGUAGAGGUGAAAUUCGUAGAUAUUCGGAAGAACACCAGUGGCGAAGGCAGCUCGCUGGGACGUGACUGACGCUGAGACGCGAAAGCGUGGGGAGCAAACAGG